AAGGAUGGAUGGAUAUGGAUUGAUUCAACGGCGGGCAGUGCAGUGCUGAAUCCUUUGGUUUUGCUGCUCCAUUUCCCAACGUGGCGUCUAGUACUAGUACUCAGCUAAUCUAAUGAAUAUAUAGUUACCUUGCCAAUUAAUUGAGGAAUUAAUUGCAACAUAAUAACCCGGCCGGCUCUAUCCUGUUCAUUCUGACUGACGGAUACCACCUUGGUUCUGUAUGUACGUAUGUCCUUGGUACCACCUUGGUUCUGUAUUUCCAGGGACGACGAAAUCGAAAUUGAUGAGAUGGUUGGUUUGGUUGGGGGCGUGUGACUGUAUGCCUUGCUCAUUUACUUGUACUAGUAAUGCCUGUGCUCACGCUAAACAACCGAGCAACGAAAUUUCAAGAAAAGAAAACUUAUAAUAGAGGAAUCGUGGCUUACAUUAAACUUCCGACUUUUUUGAAGUGGUAAUUCCAUUACUCAGUUACUGGUGCCAAAUUGGCAACCACAUCCAUCUAUACAAUUUAGAAUACUGAAAAACAAUAUGACAAUACCCUGAUUUAGAAUCAACUACCAAGGUGUUGUACAUUGGGCUAUAUUACAAACUCCUGAGGUAUGAAGUACAUAAAUAUUUUACAAUUAUGAGCUAAUGUUUCUUGUGUACUGGGAUCACAGCAGUCAAG
This 667-nucleotide long non-coding RNA is filed under the name Sorghum bicolor (sorghum). RNAcentral describes it as "long non-coding RNA (SBIC_LNC016821)". The record is from RNAcentral. Lineage: Eukaryota; Viridiplantae; Streptophyta; Magnoliopsida; Poales; Poaceae.